RNAcentral lists this ribosomal RNA (253 nucleotides) under uncultured bacterium. RNAcentral's name for it is "partial 16S ribosomal RNA". It matches the Rfam family "Bacterial small subunit ribosomal RNA", at positions 524 to 776 of the family's 1533-position model. The record is from RNAcentral.
UACGUAGGGUGCAAGCGUUGUCCGGAAUUAUUGGGCGUAAAGAGCUCGUAGGCGGUUUUUCGCGUCUGCUGUGAAAUCCCCAGGCUCAACCUGGGAACUGCGUCCGAUACUGGCAGGCUUGAAUCCGGGAGAGGGAUGUGGAAUUCCCGGUGUAGCGGUGAAAUGCGUAGAUAUCUGGAGGAACACCGGUGGCGAAGGCGGCAUCCUGGACCGGCAUUGACGCUGAGGCGCGAAAGCUAGGGGAGCAAACGGG